GACGAACGCUGGCGGCGUGCUUAACACAUGCAAGUCGAACGGAAAGGCCCUGCUUUUGUGGGGUGCUCGAGUGGCGAACGGGUGAGUAACACGUGAGUAACCUGCCCUGGACGUGGGGAUAACUUCAGGAAACUGGGGCUAAUACCGGAUAGGAGCUCCUGCUGCAUGGGGGGGGUUGGAAAGUUUCGGCGGUUGGGGAUGGACUCGCGGCUUAUCAGCUUGUUGGUGGGGUAGUGGCUUACCAAGGCUUUGACGGGUAGCCGGCCUGAGAGGGUGACCGGCCACAUUGGGACUGAGAUACGGCCCAGACUCCUACGGUAGGCAGCAGUGGGGAAUAUUGCACAAUGGGCGGAAGCCUGAUGCAGAAACGCUGCGUGCGGGAUGACGGCCUUCGGGUUGUAAACCGCUUUCGCCUGUGACGAAGCGUGAGUGACGGUAAUGGGUAAAGAAGCACCGGCUAACUACGUG
Molecule: ribosomal RNA, 468 nt
Filed under: uncultured bacterium
Lineage: Bacteria
Description: partial 16S ribosomal RNA
Rfam family: Bacterial small subunit ribosomal RNA
Source: RNAcentral